Molecule: ribosomal RNA, 689 nt
Filed under: uncultured bacterium
Lineage: Bacteria
Description: bacterial SSU rRNA
Rfam family: Bacterial small subunit ribosomal RNA
Source: RNAcentral
UGCAGUCGACGAGAGGACAUGGGAAGCUUGCUUCCUAUGAAAUCGAGUGGCAAACGGGUGAGUAACGCGUAAACAACCUGCCCUUCGGAUGGGGAUAACAGCCGGAAACGGCUGCUAAUACCGAAUACGAUCUUUUCGUCGCAUGACGGAAAGAAGAAAGGAUGGCCUCUAUACAAAGCUAUCGCCGAAGGAGGGGUUUGCGUCUGAUUAGCUGGUUGGAGGGGUAACGGCCCAACAAGGCGAUGAUCAGUAGCCGGUCUGAGAGGAUGAACGGCCACAUUGGGACUGAGACACGGCCCAGACUCCUACGGGAGGCAGCAGUGGGGAAUCUUCCGCAAUGGACGAAAGUCUGACGGAGCAACGCCGCGUGAGUGAAGAAGGUCUUCGGAUUGUAAAGCUCUGUUAUACGGGACGAAAAAGACGGAUGCCAACAGUAUCCGUCCGUGACGGUACCGUAAGAGAAAGCCACGGCUAACUACGUGCCAGCAGCCGCGGUAAUACGUAGGUGGCAAGCGUUGUCCGGAAUUAUUGGGCGUAAAGGGCGCGCAGGCGGUUCGGUAAGUCUGUCUUAAAAGUGCGGGGCUUAACCCCGUGAGGGGACGGAAACUGUCGAACUUGAGUGUCGGAGAGGAAAGCGGAAUUCCUAGUGUAGCGGUGAAAUGCGUAGAUAUUAGGAGGAACACCGGUGG